This 69-nucleotide transfer RNA is filed under the name Suwallia bimaculata. Its description in RNAcentral is "tRNA-Ser". The record is from RNAcentral. Lineage: Eukaryota; Metazoa; Arthropoda; Insecta; Plecoptera; Chloroperlidae.
GGAAAUGUGAUGUUCAAGAAAAAGCUGCUAACUUUUCCCUUUAGCGGUUAAAUUCCGUUUACAUUUCUA